GACGAACGCUGGCGGCGUGCUUAACACAUGCAAGUCGAACGGAAAGGCCUCUUUCGGGGGGUACUCGAGUGGCGAACGGGUGAGUAACACGUGAGUAACCUGCCCUUGACUUUGGGAUAACUUCAGGAAACUGGGGCUAAUACCGGAUAGGAGCCCCUGCUGCAUGGUGGGGGUUGGAAAGUUUCGGCGGUUGGGGAUGGACUCGCGGCUUAUCAGCUUGUUGGUGGGGUAGUGGCUUACCAAGGCUUUGACGGGUAGCCGGCCUGAGAGGGUGACCGGCCACAUUGGGACUGAGAUACGGCCCAGACUCCUACGGGAGGCAGCAGUGGGGAAGAUUGCACAAUGGGUGGAAGCCUGAUGCAGCAACGCCGUGUGCGGGAUGACGGCCUUCGGGUUGUAAACCGCUUUCGCUCAUGACGAAGCUUUGUGUGACGGUAGUGGGUAAAGAAGCACCGGCUAACUACGUG
RNAcentral lists this ribosomal RNA (467 nucleotides) under uncultured bacterium. RNAcentral describes it as "partial 16S ribosomal RNA". It matches the Rfam family "Bacterial small subunit ribosomal RNA", at positions 28 to 507 of the family's 1533-position model. The record is from RNAcentral.